Molecule: ribosomal RNA, 422 nt
Filed under: uncultured bacterium
Lineage: Bacteria
Description: partial 16S ribosomal RNA
Rfam family: Bacterial small subunit ribosomal RNA
Source: RNAcentral
GAAUAUUGGCCAAUGGGGGCAACCCUGAUCCAGCCAUGCCGCGUGUGUGAAGAAGGCCUUUUGGUUGUAAAGCACUUUAAGCAGUGAAGAAGACUCCAUGGUUAAUACCCAUGGACGAUGACAUUAGCUGCAGAAUAAGCACCGCCUAACUACGUGCCAGCCGCCGCGGUAAUACAGAGGGUGCAAGCGUUAAUCGGAAUUACUGGGCGUAAAGCGAGCGUAGGUGGCUUGAUAAGUCAGAUGUGAAAUCCCCGGGCUUAACCUGGGAACUGCAUCUGAUACUGUUAGGCUAGCAUAGGUGAGAGGAAGGUAAAAGUCCAGGUGUAGCGGUGAAAUGCGUAGAGAUCUGGAGGAACACCGAUGACGAAGGCAGCCUUCUGGCAUCAUAUUGACACUGAGGUUCGAAAGCGUGGGUAGCAAAC